RNAcentral lists this unclassified non-coding RNA (305 nucleotides) under plant metagenome. RNAcentral describes it as "partial contains 5.8S ribosomal RNA, internal transcribed spacer 2, and large subunit ribosomal RNA". The stretch from base 1 to 105 matches the Rfam family "5.8S ribosomal RNA", at positions 50 to 154 of the family's 154-position model. The record is from RNAcentral.
GAAAUGCGAUAAGUAAUGUGAAUUGCAGAAUUCAGUGAAUCAUCGAAUCUUUGAACGCACAUUGCGCCCGCCAGUAUUCUGGCGGGCAUGCCUGUUCGAGCGUCAUUUCAACCAUCAAGCCCCCGGCUUGUGUUGGGGACCUGCGGCUGCCCGCAGGCCCUGAAAAACAGUGGCGGGCUCGCUGUCACACCGAGCGUAGUAGCAUACAUUCUCGCUUAGGGCGUGCUGCGGGUUCCGGCCGUUAAACGACCUUCAUAACCCAAGGUUGACCUCGGAUCAGGUAGGAAUACCCGCUGAACUUAAGC